This 253-nucleotide ribosomal RNA is filed under the name uncultured bacterium. RNAcentral's name for it is "partial 16S ribosomal RNA". It matches the Rfam family "Bacterial small subunit ribosomal RNA", at positions 524 to 776 of the family's 1533-position model. The record is from RNAcentral.
UACGUAGGGUGCGAGCGUUAAUCGGAAUUACUGGGCGUAAAGAGCGCGUAGGCGGCCUGUUGCGUCCGCUGUGAAAGCCCGGGGCUUAACCCCGGGUCGGCAGUGGAUACGGGCAGGCUAGAGGUAGGUAGGGGAGAAUGGAAUUCCCGGUGUAGCGGUGAAAUGCGCAGAUAUCGGGAGGAACACCGGUGGCGAAGGCGGUUCUCUGGGCCUUACCUGACGCUGAGGAGCGAAAGCGUGGGGAGCGAACAGG